UGGUCUCUAUGUGUGCCUCUUCUUU
RNAcentral lists this non-coding RNA (25 nucleotides) under Rattus norvegicus (Norway rat). Lineage: Eukaryota; Metazoa; Chordata; Mammalia; Rodentia; Muridae. The record is from RNAcentral.